CCUACGGGUGGCUGCAGUGGGGAAUAUUGGACAAUGGGCGAAAGCCUGAUCCAGCCAUGCCGCGUGUGUGAAGAAGGCCUUCGGGUUGUAAAGCACUUUCAGUGGGGAAGAAAGCCUUGGGGCUAAUACCCUCGAGGAAGGACAUCACCCACAGAAGAAGCACCGGCUAACUCCGUGCCAGCAGCCGCGGUAAUACGGAGGGUGCGAGCGUUAAUCGGAAUUACUGGGCGUAAAGCGCGCGUAGGCGGUCUGUUAAGCCGGUUGUGAAAGCCCCGGGCUCAACCUGGGAGCGGCAUCCGGAACUGUCAGGCUAGAGUGCAGGAGAGGAAGGUAGAAUUCCCGGUGUAGCGGUGAAAUGCGUAGAGAUCGGGAGGAAUACCAGUGGCGAAGGCGGCCUUCUGGACUGACACUGACGCUGAGGUGCGAAAGCGUGGGUAGCAAACAGGAUUAGAUACCCUAGUAGUC
This 465-nucleotide ribosomal RNA is filed under the name Vreelandella stevensii. RNAcentral's name for it is "partial 16S ribosomal RNA". It matches the Rfam family "Bacterial small subunit ribosomal RNA", at positions 338 to 795 of the family's 1533-position model. Lineage: Bacteria; Pseudomonadati; Pseudomonadota; Gammaproteobacteria; Oceanospirillales; Halomonadaceae. The record is from RNAcentral.